Molecule: ribosomal RNA, 253 nt
Filed under: uncultured bacterium
Lineage: Bacteria
Description: partial 16S ribosomal RNA
Rfam family: Bacterial small subunit ribosomal RNA
Source: RNAcentral
UACAGAGGGUGCAAGCGUUGUUCGGAAUUACUGGGCGUAAAGCGCACGUAGGCGGCUUUGCAAGUCAGAGGUGAAAGCCCGGGGCUCAACCCUGGAAUUGCCUUUGAGACUGCAUCGCUAGAAUUGUGGAGAGGUAAGUGGAAUUCCGAGUGUAGAGGUGAAAUUCGUAGAUAUUCGGAAGAACACCAGUGGCGAAGGCGACUUACUGGACACAUAUUGACGCUGAGGUGCGAAAGCGUGGGGAGCAAACAGG